Molecule: long non-coding RNA, 764 nt
Filed under: Zostera marina
Lineage: Eukaryota; Viridiplantae; Streptophyta; Magnoliopsida; Alismatales; Zosteraceae
Description: long non-coding RNA (ZMAR_LNC003192)
Source: RNAcentral
AAAAGAAAUAAUUCUCUUAAAAGAUAGAUCAUCUUAUAGAUAUAAUUUUUUGGAUCAUUCCAUUUUCCACAUUUUUUCUUUCUAUGUUUUUUGGUGAGUUAGAAUUCUAUUUGUUGAAUUCCAAGUUUCCAACCCACCAUUAGGCUAGAUAUUGCAGUUCUUUAAUACAAGUUCCUACCGAAUUUGAAUUACAAUUAAGUAAACCGUACUAAUAAUAAAUAAAUCAACUUGGAACCGGUUGGGCGCUUUUAGCCUAUAUUUUCGCUAAUCGUUGCUCUUAGGUCGUCCCUCUGGCCUUGUACUUAUUCGCCAUGAAAGUGUUUGGUAUAUCUUGUAUUAUCUGUCUCUCUAUCUCUUGCGGCCACGUGCGUCUAUCUUCGUGCACUCUCUUGUUUUUUUCGGUCCAAAUCCCUCAAAUUGCCGCAACCGUGUAUGCCCAUGUUAGACCCCACCCAACAUGGUGUGUUCUUCGUUCUGACGUGAACCUCUGCCAUUACCUGUUUUAAAGAGAGUCAUACGCAUGUAAUCAACCCUAGUUUUGCAUUUAGUAUAUAAGACCAUAAAUCCAUAGAAAAUUUACAUCUGAAGAAUACAUAAUCUUGCGAUUUUCAUGGUCCUCCACAUAAGAUAUAUAUAGUCGGUAUUUCCCUCUCUCAUUCUUCUAGCCCAAUCAGUUUUUAUCGAUAUCUUUUCUCAUCUAGCCCCUUAUAAUGUUAUGUUAAAUUUCAUAAUGCUAGUGGUCCAUACCCCUUUCCAAAAUUUGU